Long non-coding RNA from Panicum hallii, 4158 nucleotides. RefSeq lists it as uncharacterized. Lineage: Eukaryota; Viridiplantae; Streptophyta; Magnoliopsida; Poales; Poaceae. The transcript has 2 exons. The record is from RefSeq and is a predicted model, not a curated record.
UUGGCUAAGAUCAAGUGUAGUAUCUGUUCUUAUCAGUUUAAUAUCUGAUAUGUGGGCCAUGUGCUCACUUCGAUAUUAAAUUUAUUUUUUGUGGGGGAGGGUCCACCGCAGUGGCUUGCUACUGGGGCCCUCGAGCGUUGCACUGUUGCCCGGGCCUGGCGCACCCCAACCAAAUCAAAGGCAAACUUUGUGUUUGAACGAAAUUUUGAUUACUUCGCGAUAUUGUUUGAAGUCUGACGAAAUAUUUGGUUUUGGCGUUCCCUAUGUGCGUGGGUGCGCGGGCUCCGUUUGCCGGCGCGGCGGCGGCGGCGUCCGGUCUCCACGCGCCCGUGCGCUCCUAGGCCCCGUCGGCUGGAGGCCUAGGCGGCCCUGGAGAUAACGGAGGAGACCAAGUUCCCAUGGCCGUCGAGGGACAGAUCUGUCUCCCAGAGCAGGGACGGACAGACGGUGAAAAUAUCUUCGGUGACCAUAUUUUUGGAACUGCUGCAAAUGCUUCUUUUUGUUGGUUAAUCAAAUGAAAAAGUGAACCUCUCCCCUCGGAUGCUAUCAGGCAUUCAGGCUAAUUAGUCAAUGGAUGCUCGGCAAAACAUUUGUAGAUGAAAAGGAACCAUGUGUAUUGCAAUUCUGCAUACAUACUGCAAUGGUGCUCGGUGUGCAAGCUCAAUUAUUGAAUGCCAAUCCACAUAGCAUGCUUAAAGUUGAUUUUGGGUUUGACUAACUGAACUUGAUGCACAUAGCAUGCUUAAAACAUGAGCUACCAUUGCCACUAGGUUGUUUCAUUUGAUUUGGGAUUUAUAUGCGAAAGUACUGCUGGAGGAUGGCUUACCAGUAAUUCCUUUUGCGGUACCAGGAAUAACAUAUAUAUAUAUAUAUUGUUUUCUAUUUUAUAUGUUCUAUAAAUCUGAAGCUUGCAAAUUUGUCCUCCUAGAUAUCAUAAUUGUGGUCAAUUGUACUUGAUAUACAAAAUUAUCUGUAAUAUGUGCAGCAAUUUAGGAUUAUCCAAGACGAAGUACAUAUUCUACUGGGCUUCUACAGAAUAUGUCCAAUACUCUGGGCAAAAAAACUUAAUUGGUGUCCAUUUUUUGCUUGCGGAUAGCUAUCUCAGUCUAAAUGACAUCUCCUAAUUGUUCCUGUUUGGAUGGAAUCAUGAUUUUCAUAGUUUCAUGUGGUUCACCUGAAAGCUUUGGAAAGUAGCAAUUCUUAUGGCCUCCCUCUAGAAUUUCACUACAAGAACCUGUGAGGCAGAUAGGUGCAGUCAAGCUUUUCUGAGGAUUGGUGUGCAGUACCAAUGCUUUACCGAACAGGUUCGGCAUCUUCCUGGUGGAAUCUUAGGUUUGGUCAUUUACGGUUAUAGUAAAGUGUAUGGCUGCACUCCAUGGUUAUUUAUAUUAAUUUCAGCCAAUUGAAGGUUUUCACAGUCACCUUAUCUCAUCAGGUAUGAUAUCUGUACUUUACUGUACAUAACAGUGUGUGUUUGAUCAGGUUACAUGAAUUUUCCUCACAGUAAGAAGAUGAGUAUAAUGCAUCACACAUCGUGUUGUGAUCAGGUUGCGUGAAUUUUCACUGUUUGUAUCUCAAUUUUCAAUUUUUUUAGAACACAUGAAUUUUCACUGUUUGUAUCUCAAUUUUCAAUUUUUUCAUCAGGUUUUUUUAUAACACAUGAAUUUUCACUGUUUGCUAGGCCCCCCCGUCUUACUAGACAGAGCAUAACGUUUCAUACAGAGUUUUGCGAUACCAGCCGCAGGCCAAUAUCCAAAAGAAACCAAAGCCCUAAGACAGUUUUAACCAGACAGCAAGGAUAAACGCAACACAUAAGCUGAACUGUUUGCUACCUAAUAUUCACUUGCAGAAGAAGAUGCCAGAUUGCCAGCAGAGCAUUGUUGAAGAUGUCCUUUGAGCUGCAGGAUCUAAAUGAUGGCUUUACGCAAAUCAGGUCGGCACGAAUAACUUGGGAGUACAAGGUCACUGCAAGUAUGUGAAGACGGGACGAAGAACAACCCUUGCAGAAGAAGGUUGUGGUAGCUUUUCGCCUGAAAUACUGGUGGAAGCUAUUGCGCCUGAGCCUGAUCCUAGGUCCGAGCUGAAUGAAGAUGAUGCACCAUGAAAACAAACAAAGAUAAUCUGAGUUCUUUGGGGAAGACCAAAAUGGAGGGCGCUAGAAACACAUCUGAGUCCUGAGUUCCGAGCUAAAUGAACAGCACUAUGAAGUUGCUGAUGAAUGUUCCAGAUGGAGUUAGAAAUAAUUAAUUGAAUACCUCCCCUACCUGCUGCAAGCGUCAGGUUUGAUGCUUGCAGAAAUGAUGAAUCAACUUUACAUGACUAGUACUCUAGUUGAGGUGUCAGUUGUAAUCUACGACAAAAUUGAAUGGUUGAAUAUGAUGGGUCAAUGAUCUAGUUCGAUGUUCUAAAAACGAGAUGCGUUGUUCCAUCAUGUAUGCAACUCUCCCCUGGAGCGGCAACUUCCAAUGUUUCAACAUCUUUCCAAUGUUUAGUAUAUAAAUGUAGCCAACACCUCAUUCAUCGAUCAUCAUCAUUUUCACUAUACCCACUAUAUAUACUAACGAUCUGAUCCUAUUUUUUCAGAGGUGGGCAAGAACGCAUUUGCAUUCUGAGACUUCGAUAAGUAGCAUGGAUCAGAUAGUAUUUCAGUUCACAGGAGUGUUGAUUGGUGAGUGGUGACUGCAGUUGAUCAUAACAAAUGGCUUUUACCCUACCGUCGGAAUUUUAAAACAGUUCACAGUCUUGCAUCUCGAAUUAUCCUAUAAUUUCAUUUGCACGUCAUAAAAUCUCCCCAAAUUGGGGGGAAUUAUACUGUUGCAAAUGAAUUCUGCCAGCCAGAUUAUGAAGCACUUCUUCAGGGUCAACAAUUGAAUUGAUUCCGUGUCUGGAACAAGAUGAUACAGAGUUUGGAUGCCGUGCCGGUGCUGGUACACUUCUCGGAUGCUGCCAUUUUCAGGCGUUCAUUUUCAUCUUGUAAGAAUUCUUCAGGAAGCUCAGCCCACCAACUCAAGUUAAGAAGAGUGAAUAAAGGCCCAAACAAGGCAACAAAAAACCAGAAAGAACCCACUCUCUGCCCAGCGCUCACGUUGCUCCGCAGCAAACCAACAACAAAGCCUUGCCAACUGGCAUGUCAGCAUGUGAUGCUGUUGUUUAAUCCCAUACUGGCAGUUCACAGAGCGCCACACCAAGUUAAAUAGCCAGUCCUCCGCCCCUUACUCGCCGAGCAAUUAGCGACUGCUUGUGACCCGAGCAGGGGCAUUGCGUCGGGCAAUGCUUUAUUUUUUGGCCUUGGCGUCCAAGCACCUAGAGUUUUGGGGUUUUCCACCAAACUUUUGCAGAAUGAAGCCGAGAAUGGUGGAUUACCACCCUCCACCCUUAACAACAUAAGGGUGUCCUGUAGACAAAUACGCGUUCUUUAUGGUUCUCAAUCUCAAGGGACAAAUGCAUGUGUUCAAAGGGUUCGAAUGGCUUGCGAAAUCGAGUUGAGGAGAAUUUUCCUGCUGGUAACGAUCUGUGAUAUGCAGAACGUUCUCUGUACCUGACGGUGGCCCGCAGAACAUACGCAUUGUUUAAUUUAUUGGCCUAAUAAAAUUUCAGGAUCUGAAUGGUGAUAUAUCUGGCCUUCUGCGACCAUGUUUGGCGCUUGGCUCUUUGAAUGGCUGGUACUCCUGGAGUACAGGUUCACCAGCAGGUAUGUCAAGGCAGGAACCAUGAGAGAAGAGCAGCAUCAGCAGAAAGAGGGUUAUGCUAGCAUUUCGCCUUAAUCUCAUGAGGAAGCUGCUGUGACUGAUCCUGAGAGCCUGAGCCCAAUCUGAAUGAAGACGGUUAUGGCAGCAUCUCAGAUCUAAGGGGAAAACAAAAAUGGAGGGUGGGGCACUACUGGUGAAUGCUUCGGUGGAAAUUAGAAACCGAACUACCUCCUGUAAGUGUCCUAUGCAUGCGGCAGACCUGAUACUUGCAGAGAUGAUGCUUAAUUCUACAUGAUUAGUAGAUGUGUGCUGUACAAUACAACUAAAUGGUUGGACUUGAAGGUGUCAGUGCUCUAGUUUCUGAUGCAGGCAUGCAGCCCGUUUAAUGUAAGAUUCAACGCAGGACUUAGUCCUACUUAGCAUCUCAAUGUACAACUCUCGUGCCAAAAAGAAGCAUUUUCUUCACUUA